RNAcentral lists this ribosomal RNA (260 nucleotides) under uncultured Acaulospora. RNAcentral describes it as "partial 18S ribosomal RNA". It matches the Rfam family "Eukaryotic small subunit ribosomal RNA", at positions 624 to 884 of the family's 1831-position model. Lineage: Eukaryota; Fungi; Glomeromycota; Glomeromycetes; Diversisporales; Acaulosporaceae. The record is from RNAcentral.
AAGCUCGUAGUUGAAUUUCGGAAUUUGUCGGUUGGUCGGGCUUCACUGUCCGCACUGGCCUGAUGAAUUCCUACCUUCUGAAUAACCAGCAUGCUAUUAAUUUAGUGCGUUGGGGGAAGCAAGAGCUAUUACCUUGAAAAAAUUAGAGUGCUUAAAGCAGGCUCACGCUUGAAUAGAUUAGCAUGGAAUAAUAAAAUAGGACGGCUUGGUUCUAUUUUGUUGGUUUCUAGGAUCACCGUAAUGAUUAAUAGGAAGUUGGG